RNAcentral lists this ribosomal RNA (459 nucleotides) under uncultured bacterium. Its description in RNAcentral is "partial 16S ribosomal RNA". It matches the Rfam family "Bacterial small subunit ribosomal RNA", at positions 338 to 795 of the family's 1533-position model. The record is from RNAcentral.
CCUACGGGUGGCUGCAGUGAGGAAUAUUGGUCAAUGGACGAGAGUCUGAACCAGCCAAGUCGCGUGAGGGAAGAAGGUACUGAGUAUUGUAAACCUCUUUUGCCAGGGGACAAAGGCGGCCACGGGUGUCCGUACGCGGGUACCUGGAGAACAAGCAUCGGCUAACUCCGUGCCAGCCGCCGCGGUAAUACGGAGGAUGCGCGCGUUAUCCGGAUUUAUUGGGUUUAAUGGGUGCGCAGGCGGCGGGUCAAGUCAGCGGGAAAAUGUCGGGGCUAAACCCCGGCCGGCCGUUGAAACUGGCGGGCGCGAGUGGGAGAGAAGUAGGCGGAAGUCGUGGUGUAGCGGUGAAAUGCAUAGAUAUCACGAAGAACCCCGAUUGCGAAGGCAGCAUACCGGCUCCACACUGACGCUGAGGCACGAAAGCGUGGGUAUCGAACAGGAUUAGAUACCCUGGUAGUC